Molecule: ribosomal RNA, 469 nt
Filed under: uncultured bacterium
Lineage: Bacteria
Description: partial 16S ribosomal RNA
Rfam family: Bacterial small subunit ribosomal RNA
Source: RNAcentral
GACGAACGCUGGCGGCGUGCUUAACACAUGCAAGUCGAACGGAAAGGCCCUGCUUGCAGGGUGCUCGAGUGGCGAACGGGUGAGUAACACGUGGGUGCUCUGCCCCUUACUUUGGGAUAAGCCUGGAAAACUGGGUCUAAUACUGGAUAGGACCAUGCUGUAGGUGGUGUGGUGGAAAGAUUAUUUUCGGUAAGGGAUGAGCUCGCGGCCUAUCAGCUUGUUGGUGGGGUAAUGGCCUACCAAGGCGUCGACGGGUAGCCGGCCUGAGAGGGUGGGCGGCAACAUUGGGACUGCGAUACGGCCCAGACUCCUACGGGAGGCAGCAGUGGGGAAUAUUGCACAACGGGCGCAAGCCGGAUGCAGCGACGCCGCGUGGGGGAUGACGGCCUUCGGGUUGUAAACUCCUUUCAGCCAUGACGAAGCCCUUGUGGUGACGGUAGUGGUAGAAGAAGCACCGGCUAACUACGUG